UACGUAGGCAGCAAGCGUUGUUCGGAGUUACUGGGCGUAAAGGGUGUGUAGGCGGUUGUUUAAGUUUGGUGUGAAAUCUCCCGGCUCAACUGGGAGGGUGCGCCGAAUACUGAAUGACUAGAGUGCGGGAGAGGAAAGUGGAAUUCCUGGUGUAGCGGUGAAAUGCGUAGAUAUCAGGAGGAACACCGGUGGUGUAGACGGCUUUCUGGACCGUAACUGACGCUGAGACACGAAAGCAUGGGGAGCAAACAGG
Molecule: ribosomal RNA, 253 nt
Filed under: uncultured bacterium
Lineage: Bacteria
Description: partial 16S ribosomal RNA
Rfam family: Bacterial small subunit ribosomal RNA
Source: RNAcentral